CCCUUAGAUGUUCUGGGCUGCACACGUGCUACACUGGCAGGUUCAGCGAGCUUCAUGCCCUGAUCUGAAAGGAAUGGGAAAUCUUUUCAAAACCUGCCGUGCUUGGGAUAGAUGUUUGCAAUUAUUCAUCUUCAACGAGGAUUGCCUUGUAAGCGCACGUCAUCAGCGUGCAUUGAAUACGACCCUGUAUUUUGUACACACCGCCCGUCGCUCCUACCGAUUGAAGUUUUCGGUGAGUUGACAGGAGGAUUUUUUUGAAACUGGUUCGCCAGUGGAUUUUAGAUCCAAAUGCCAACGAAUCGAUGGCUUUAGAGGAAGGAGAAGUCGUAACA
This 332-nucleotide ribosomal RNA is filed under the name uncultured eukaryote. RNAcentral describes it as "partial 18S ribosomal RNA". It matches the Rfam family "Eukaryotic small subunit ribosomal RNA", at positions 1470 to 1796 of the family's 1831-position model. The record is from RNAcentral.